This 717-nucleotide ribosomal RNA is filed under the name uncultured bacterium. RNAcentral's name for it is "bacterial SSU rRNA". It matches the Rfam family "Bacterial small subunit ribosomal RNA", at positions 8 to 711 of the family's 1533-position model. The record is from RNAcentral.
AGAGUUUGAUCCUGGCUCAGGAUGAACGCUAGCUACAGGCUUAACACAUGCAAGUCGAGGGGCAGCAGAUCGAAAGCUUGCUUUUGAUGCUGGCGACCGGCGCACGGGUGAGUAACGCGUAUCCAACCUUCCCUAUAGUAGAGAAUAGCCCGGCGAAAGUCGGAUUAAUGCUCUAUGUUGUAUUUAGAAGACAUCUGAAGAAUACCAAAGGUUUACCGCUAUAGGAUGGGGAUGCGUCUGAUUAGGUAGUAGGCGGGGUAACGGCCCACCUAGCCGACGAUCAGUAGGGGUUCUGAGAGGAAGGUCCCCCACAUUGGAACUGAGACACGGUCCAAACUCCUACGGGAGGCAGCAGUGAGGAAUAUUGGUCAAUGGACGGAAGUCUGAACCAGCCAAGUAGCGUGCAGGAUGACGGCCCUAUGGGUUGUAAACUGCUUUUAUAUAGGGAUAAAGUCGGGGACGUGUCCCCGUUUGUAGGUACUAUAUGAAUAAGGACCGGCUAAUUCCGUGCCAGCAGCCGCGGUAAUACGGAAAGGUCCAGGCGUUAUCCCGGAUUUAUUGGGUUUAAAGGGAGCGCAGCUGAUGAUUAAGCGUGACGUGAAAUUGUAGCCGCUCAACGGCUGAACUGCGUCGCGAACUGAUUAUUCUUGAGUGAGUUCGAUGUUGGCGGAAUUCGUGGUGUAGCGGUGAAAUGCUUAGAUAUCACGAAGAACUCCG